GAUGAACGCUGGCGGCGUGCCUAAUACAUGCCAGUCGAGCGAACAGAUGAGGAGCUUGCUCCUCUGACGUUAGCGGCGGACGGGUGAGUAACACGUGGAUAACCUACCUAUAAGACUGGGAUAACUUCGGGAAACCGGAGCUAAUACCGGAUAAUAUAUUGAACCGCAUGGUUCAAUAGUGAAAGACGGCUUUGCUGUCACUUAUAGAUGGAUCCGCGCCGCAUUAGCUAGUUGGUAAGGUAACGGCUUACCAAGGCAACGAUGCGUAGCCGACCUGAGAGGGUGAUCGGCCACACUGGAACUGAGACACGGUCCAGACUCCUACGGGAGGCAGCAGUAGGGAAUCUUCCGCAAUGGGCGAAAGCCUGACGGAGCAACGCCGCGUGAGUGAUGAAGGUCUUCGGAUCGUAAAACUCUGUUAUUAGGGAAGAACAAAUGUGUAAGUAACUAUGCACGUCUUGACGGUACCUAAUCAGAAAGCCGCGGCUAACUACGUG
Molecule: ribosomal RNA, 497 nt
Filed under: uncultured bacterium
Lineage: Bacteria
Description: partial 16S ribosomal RNA
Rfam family: Bacterial small subunit ribosomal RNA
Source: RNAcentral